Herpailurus yagouaroundi (jaguarundi) is the source of this 205-nucleotide long non-coding RNA. RefSeq lists it as uncharacterized. NCBI's taxonomy places the organism in Eukaryota, Metazoa, Chordata, Mammalia, Carnivora, Felidae. The record is from RefSeq and is a predicted model, not a curated record. The transcript has 2 exons.
CAGAGGGAGGUGCGAUGCAUUUUCAGCCCCGUCAGCAAGAUCGGCGACAGCCACGGUGGCCCGUGGCCCAGGCUACUGUCCAGCCGCUACCGGGUGCUGGACGGUUUGAGGGGACUCCUCGCGAAGACCCGGGUCCUGCCCUCCUGGAGCAGGAGGAGGAACUCAGCAAGCGAUUGCACAAACACAGGAAUUCCUUCUAGGGGAG